RNAcentral lists this small nuclear RNA (129 nucleotides) under Fukomys damarensis (Damara mole-rat). Its description in RNAcentral is "U4 spliceosomal RNA (ENSFDAG00000001763.1)". It matches the Rfam family "U4 spliceosomal RNA". Rfam says of the family: U4 small nuclear RNA (U4 snRNA) is a component of the major U2-dependent spliceosome. The record is from RNAcentral. Lineage: Eukaryota; Metazoa; Chordata; Mammalia; Rodentia; Bathyergidae.
AGCCUUGCACAGUAGCAAUAUCAUAGCCAAUGAGGCUUGUCCGAGUCAUGAUUAUUGCUAAUUGAAGUACAGGAAAGUGAAUGUCAUUUGGGAUAAACCUAUGACAAUUAAUAAAUGAGUGUGUGUGUG